GGAAGCUUGAAAUGACUUGGACUUUACUAUGCGCAGUAUAGGUGGGAGGCUAUGAAAAUAUUCUUGCGGCAAUAUUUGGAGCCAUCAGUGAGAUACCACUCUUAUUGUGUUAGAUUUCUAACUUUGCAUCAUUAUCUGGUCAAAGGACAGUUUCAGGCGGGCAGUUUGACUGGGGCGGUCGCCUCCUAAACGGUAACGGAGGCGCACAAAGGUUUCCUCUGACGGGUAGAAAUCGUAUCUAGAGUGUAAAGGCAUAAGGAAGCUUGACUGUGAGACCUACAAGUCGAGCAGGGACGAAAGUCGGUCUUAGUGAUCUGACGGUGCUGAGUGGAAAGGCCGUCACUCAACGGAUAAAAAGUUACUCUAGGGAAAAAGGGGCUUGAA
This 384-nucleotide ribosomal RNA is filed under the name Cladophora sp. CU1. RNAcentral's name for it is "partial large subunit ribosomal RNA". It matches the Rfam family "Bacterial large subunit ribosomal RNA", at positions 2105 to 2488 of the family's 2925-position model. The record is from RNAcentral. Lineage: Eukaryota; Viridiplantae; Chlorophyta; Ulvophyceae; Cladophorales; Cladophoraceae.